UAAAUUUGAAAGAUGGCGGCCUACGC
RNAcentral lists this non-coding RNA (26 nucleotides) under Mus musculus (house mouse). The record is from RNAcentral. Lineage: Eukaryota; Metazoa; Chordata; Mammalia; Rodentia; Muridae.